GGAAACCCUGGUGGAACUCGUACGGUUCUGACGUGCAAAUCGAUCGUCGCACUUGGGUAUAGGGGCGAAAGACUAAUCGAACCAUCUAGUAGCUGGUUCCCUCCGAAGUUUCCCUCAGGAUAGCUGGAGCCCGGCUAGGCAGUUUUAUCGGGUAAAGCGAAUGAUUAGAGGUAUCGGGGUCCGAGCGACCUCGACCUAUUCUCAAACUUUCAAUAGGUAAGAGCGGUCGGCUUGCUUAAGUGAAGCCGCUCCGCGGAAUGCAGGGGCUCCUGGUGGGCCGUUUUUGGUAAGCAGAACCGGCGAUGCGGGAUGAACCGAACGGCGGGUUACGGUGCCGGAGUCGACGCUGAUCAGAACCCAGGAAAGGUGUUGGUUGAUCCAGACAGCAGGACGGUGGCCAUGGAAGUCGGAAUCCGCUAAGGAGUGUGUAACAACUCACCUGCCGAAUCAACUAGCCCUGAAAAUGGAUGGCGCUGAAGCGUCGCACCCAUACCCGCCCGUCGCGGCGGCGUCCGGUCGGGCCGCGGCGUGUAGAAGGGCGCGRAGGUCCCCGUGCAAUGCGGUGCAGCUGCGGCGUAAGCGCGGCGGACCGGCUUCCGGUGCGGAUCUUGGUGGUAGUAGCAACUUAUUCAAGGGAGGGCCUUGAAGACCGAAGUGGGGAAGGGUUCCGUGUGACCAGCACUUGGACACGGGUGAGUCGAUCCUAAGCGGCGGGGGAACCCCCCGAGGCGAGAGGGCGUCCGCUCGUCGGCCGUUUGCUCGGUGCGGCGAGGGCGCCAGCCAGCGACAGGGAAUCGGGUUAACAUUCCCGAACCGGAGCACGGAGUCGGCCUCGGCCGAUGGCGGCAACGCAAGCGAACUCGGAGACGCCGGCGGCAGUCCCGGGAAGAGUUGUCUUUUCUUCUCGACGGGCCUCGACCCUGGAAUCGGGUUGGCCGGAGAUAGGGUCCACGGUCCGGCCUAGCGCCACACUUGAGGUGGCGUCCGGUGCGCUGUCGACGGCCCUUGAAAAUCCGAGGGAGC
This 1023-nucleotide ribosomal RNA is filed under the name Haplosclerine sp. UCMPWC1032. RNAcentral describes it as "eukaryotic LSU rRNA". It matches the Rfam family "Eukaryotic large subunit ribosomal RNA", at positions 857 to 1823 of the family's 3401-position model. Lineage: Eukaryota; Metazoa; Porifera; Demospongiae; Haplosclerida. The record is from RNAcentral.